CCUACGGGUGGCAGCAGUGAGGAAUAUUGGUCAAUGGGCGCGAGCCUGAACCAGCCAAGUAGCGUGAAGGAUGACUGCCCUACGGGUUGUAAACUUCUUUUAUAAAGGAAUAAAGUGAGGCACGUGUGCCUUUUUGUAUUUACUUUAUGAAUAAGGAUCGGCUAACUCCGUGCCAUCAGCCGCGGUAAUACGGAGGAUCCGAGCGUUAUCCGGAUUUAUUGGGUUUAAAGGGAGCGUAGAUGGGUUGUUAAGUCAGUUGUGAAAGUUUGCGGCUCAACCGUAAAAGUGCAAUGGAUACUGGCAGUCUUGAGUACAGUUGAGGUAAGCGGAAUUCGUGGUGUAGCGGUGAAAUGCUUAGAUAUAACGAAGAACUCCGAUUGCGAAGGCAGCUUACUAAACUGCAACUGACAUUGAUGCUCGAAAGUGUGGGUAUCAAACAGGAUUAGAUACCCCGGUAGUC
This 460-nucleotide ribosomal RNA is filed under the name uncultured bacterium. RNAcentral describes it as "partial 16S ribosomal RNA". It matches the Rfam family "Bacterial small subunit ribosomal RNA", at positions 338 to 795 of the family's 1533-position model. The record is from RNAcentral.